This 359-nucleotide ribosomal RNA is filed under the name uncultured bacterium. RNAcentral describes it as "bacterial SSU rRNA". It matches the Rfam family "Bacterial small subunit ribosomal RNA", at positions 69 to 422 of the family's 1533-position model. The record is from RNAcentral.
AGUUUAUGAAGUUUUCGGACGGAUUAAACUUAGUGGCGGACGGGUGAGUAACGCGUGGGUAACCUGCCUCAUACAGGGGGAUAACAGUUGGAAACGGCUGCUAAAACCGCAUAAUAUUGCGACGUCGCAUGGCGAUGCAAUUAAAUAUUUAUAGGUAUGAGAUGGGCCCGCGUCUGAUUAGCUAGUUGGUGAGGUAAUGGCUCACCAAGGCGACGAUCAGUAGCCGACUUGAGAGAGUGACCGGCCACAUUGGGACUGAGACACGGCCCAAACUCCUACGGGAGGCAGCAGUGGGGAAUAUUGCACAAUGGGGGAAACCCUGAUGCAGCGACGCCGCGUGAGUGAAGAAGUAUUUCGGU